CGCGUAGGCGGCUCGCUAAGUCGGGUGUGAAAACUCUGGGCUCAACCCAGAGCCUGCACUCGAAACUGACGAGCUAGAGUUCUGGAGGGGAAAGCGGAAUUCCUGGUGUAGCGGUGAAAUGCGUAGAUAUCAGGGGGAACACCGGUGGCGAAGGCGGCUUUCUGGACAGAAACUGACGCUGAGGCGCGAAAGCUAGGGGAGCAAACA
Molecule: ribosomal RNA, 207 nt
Filed under: uncultured bacterium
Lineage: Bacteria
Description: partial 16S ribosomal RNA
Rfam family: Bacterial small subunit ribosomal RNA
Source: RNAcentral